AUCAUCUUGUAAGAGAGCUGGGGUCCUCCUAGCUCCAUCCUCGCACCGAGGGAAAACCCAGUCUCUUGGUGCUGAGAAGAAACCAUGGCACAGCCCUUCUCAGUUCUCCAGCAACCCUGGACUCUGCAGGAGAACAGAGAGACUCCCUACAUUUGUUUCUAUGAGAGAAGGGAAGGCUGGAGCAGGGAGUGGGGGAAAUCUCUGCAGUCCUCUCGGAAAGCAAACCCUUCCACACCUGUGAUCCCAUGCGAUUUUAGCAGAGCCCUGAGUUAAAACUAGGCCAUGAUGACGUUUAGUGACACAAACAUCUGACAAAAGAGCUGUACCCUUUAUAUUUGCAAAGGCUUCCUACAAAUUAAGAGAGGCAGAAGACCCAUUUAAUGGGCAAUGGACUUGAAGAGACAUUUUACCAAGGAUAUCCAAAUGGCCACACACACACACACACACACACACAAAUGGGAAGGUGUUCAACUUCAUUAGUCAUUAUGGAAAUUAAACCACAAGGAAGUAUCAAAACACUGCAGCAGCAGAACUAAAAUGGAAAAGACGAACAACCAACUAUUUGCAAGUAUAUGGGGCAAAUGCAGCUUCCUCACAUUGCUGGCAGGAUGGUAACCUGGGAAGCUGCUUUGAGAAAUGGUUUGUCAGUAACUAUGAAAGCUAAAGGUACAUAUAUCAUCCCUGAGCAAUUCCACUGCUAGGCAGACACCUGAGAGAAAGAACUCUGUGUGUGCUCCAAAAGACAUGGACAGAAAUGUUCAUGGUAGCUUUAUUUAUAGGAGCCCAAAACUAGAAAUACAAAAUGUUCAUGAAGAGAGGGAUGAAACAAUACAUUGCAAUACAUUCAUAUGAUAAAUACUACACAGUAAUAAAAAUAAAAACACACAGCAUGGAUCCACACUUCAUCCAGUGUUGAGUGAAGAAAGCCAGGAUCAAAUAACUAUAUACUGUAUAAUUCCCCUUAGAGAAGGUUCAAAGACAGACUACACUAAUUUACGGUGAUAAAGAUCAGGAGACUGGCCACUCUUGGGGAAGGCGGGUACAAACUGGAGAGGAGGCAGGAGAACCUGCUAAGAUGCAGAAAAUUUAUUUUUGAGACGGAGUUUUGCUCUUGUUGC
Molecule: long non-coding RNA, 1118 nt
Organism: Cercocebus atys (sooty mangabey)
Lineage: Eukaryota; Metazoa; Chordata; Mammalia; Primates; Cercopithecidae
Exons: 3
Source: RefSeq, a predicted model, not a curated record